RNAcentral lists this ribosomal RNA (343 nucleotides) under uncultured delta proteobacterium. RNAcentral describes it as "bacterial SSU rRNA". It matches the Rfam family "Bacterial small subunit ribosomal RNA", at positions 202 to 523 of the family's 1533-position model. Lineage: Bacteria; Deltaproteobacteria. The record is from RNAcentral.
AAAGAUGGCAUCGGCUUGCCGGUGCUGUCACCGGGAGAUGGGCCCGCGUACGAUUAGCUAGUUGGUAGGGUAACGGCCUACCAAGGCUGCGAUCGUUAGCUGGUCUGAGAGGAUGACCAGCCACACUGGAACUGGAACACGGUCCAGACUCCUACGGGAGGCAGCAGUGAGGAAUAUUGCGCAAUGGGGGAAACCCUGACGCAGCAACGCCGCGUGGGUGAAGAAGGCCUUCGGGUCGUAAAGCCCUUUCGGACGGGACGAACGCCUCGCGGGGACAAUCCGCGAGGUCUGACGGUACCGUAGGAAGAAGCACCGGCUAACUCCGUGCCAGCAGCCGCGGUAA